GGCAGACGGGUGAGUAACACGUGGGAACCUUCCCUUUGGUUCGGAAUAGCUCAGGAAACUUGAGGUAAUACCGGAUAAGCCCUUACGGGGAAAGAUUUAUCGCCAUAGGAUGGGCCCGCGUCGGAUUAGCUAGUUGGUGAGGUAACGGCUCACCAAGGCGACGAUCCGUAGCUGGUCUGAGAGGAUGAUCAGCCACACUGGGACUGAGACACGGCCCAGACUCAUACGGGAGGCAGCAGUGGGGAAUAUUGGACAAUGGGCGCAAGCCUGAUCCAGCCAUGCCGCGUGAGUGACGAAGGCCUUAGGGUUGUAAAGCUCUUUUGGCGGGGAAGAUAAUGACGGUACCCGCAGAAUAAGCUCCGGCUAACUUCGUGCCAGCCGCCGCGG
RNAcentral lists this ribosomal RNA (387 nucleotides) under uncultured bacterium. RNAcentral's name for it is "bacterial SSU rRNA". It matches the Rfam family "Bacterial small subunit ribosomal RNA", at positions 97 to 520 of the family's 1533-position model. The record is from RNAcentral.